AUACCGUGAGGUGGAGCAAAACUCAAAAAAUAGAUCUCAGUUCGGACUGUAGGCUGCAACUCGCCUACACGAAGUUGGAAUUGCUAGUAAUCGUGGAUCAGCAUGCCACGGUGAAUACGUUCCCGGGUCUUGUACACACCGCCCGUCACACCAUGGGAGCCGGAAAUGCCCGAAGCCUGUGACCCAACCCAAUAGGGAGGGAGCAGUCGAAGGUGGAGCCGGUAACUGGGGUGAAGUCGUAACAAGGUAAC
This 251-nucleotide ribosomal RNA is filed under the name uncultured bacterium. RNAcentral's name for it is "partial 16S ribosomal RNA". It matches the Rfam family "Bacterial small subunit ribosomal RNA", at positions 1252 to 1500 of the family's 1533-position model. The record is from RNAcentral.